Molecule: ribosomal RNA, 253 nt
Filed under: uncultured bacterium
Lineage: Bacteria
Description: partial 16S ribosomal RNA
Rfam family: Bacterial small subunit ribosomal RNA
Source: RNAcentral
UACAGAGGGGGCAAGCGUUGUUCGGAAUUACUGGGCGUAAAGGGCGCGUAGGCGGCCUGCUAAGUCGAACGUGAAAUCCCCGGGCUCAACCCGGGAACUGCGUCCGAUACUGACAGGCUUGAAUCCGGGAGAGGGAUGUGGAAUUCCAGGUGUAGCGGUGAAAUGCGUUGAUAUCCUCAGGAACACCGGUGGCGAAGGCGACUCACUGGGUCUUUACUGACGCUGAUGCACGAAAGCUAGGGUAGCAAACGGG